This 515-nucleotide ribosomal RNA is filed under the name uncultured bacterium. Its description in RNAcentral is "partial 16S ribosomal RNA". It matches the Rfam family "Bacterial small subunit ribosomal RNA", at positions 28 to 523 of the family's 1533-position model. The record is from RNAcentral.
GAUGAACGCUGGCGGCGUGCCUAAUACAUGCAAGUCGAGCGAAUGGAUUAAGAGCUUGCUCUUAUGAAGUUAGCGGCGGACGGGUGAGUAACACGUGGGUAACCUGCCCAUAAGACUGGGAUAACUCCGGGAAACCGGGGCUAAUACCGGAUAACAUUUUGAACCGCAUGGUUCGAAAUUGAAAGGCGGCUUCGGCUGUCACUUAUGGAUGGACCCGCGUCGCAUUAGCUAGUUGGUGAGGUAACGGCUCACCAAGGCAACGAUGCGUAGCCGACCUGAGAGGGUGAUCGGCCACACGGGGACUGGGACACGGCCCAGACUCCUACGGGAGGCAGCAGUAGGGAAUCUUCCGCAAUGGACGAAAGUCUGACGGAGCAACGCCGCGUGGGUGAUGAAGGCUUUCGGGUCGUAAAACUCUGUUGUUAGGGAAGAACAAGUGCUAGUUGAAUAAGCUGACACCUUGACGGUACCUAACCAGAAAGCCACGGCUAACUACGUGCCAGCCGCCGCCGUAA